CAGUCUUGACAGAUGCAGCUCGGCAUUGGCAUUGUAUUCUUCUACCUGCAGGUCUCCUCCUUCUCCCUCUCCCUUCUCUGAUUUUGUACGAUUGCACCAAUAUAAUAUUUCUCGUUUAAUUUUUGUGUGCUAUCCUUCAUGCUGCUCCUACAUGAUGUUGAUUUUCAUCCGAUAGAAUUCUGAUCUAUCAAUUACAUGAUGAUUGUAAGUUAUUAAUGUCAAACAGAACUUAGGGAAUAAUGUUAAUUUGGUAUGCCCUCUCCACAUUUUUCCGGGCUAGGAACCGGCGGCAUUUGGCACGGCAGUGUUAGGCCCCCUGCCGUCAUAACAUUUAACAUACUUAAGAAACAAUUAGUGUAUUUUAUCUAUAGUUUUAAUAAUUCCCGAAGACAAACUGGGAUUUAAUAACUAAAUAGGAAAAUUGAUCUGAUUGCAAUAUACAUAUAAAAUAUAUGAUGCGCGGAUGCUCACUAUUGGCUUGCACUAUUAAUAAGAUUCAAGUAACAUAAUAUAGAGUGUUGAUGUUUGAUAUUAUUGAGCUAUUUCCAUCAAAUGUUGAUGCAUAUUUCCAAUUCCUCGACAGAGUAGUAGACAAUACUGUUAUGUCAUAUCAUGUUAGCAUAGAUAAGUCAUUUUUUAUUUUGAAGAUAGUUUGCAGUAUGCUAAAUUUCUAUAAAUGAACUUAUUAUGUAAAAAUCUGGUAGCCUCAUCUAGUGACGAAGCAUCAUACUGAAAGUGUUUUUAUACCUUUUGAAUAUUUCUUUAUAGACUAUGUCCUUGACCACAUCAUAUAUUCUAAUUGCUAUCUUCAUCAUUUACCGUUACUCCUCCUAGUCCAUCCCUUUUUGUGACUCUUGAGAAUGAUAUGUAUAGUUGUCGCAAACACUUUCUUAGGAAGAUAUUGGACUUUACAUAGACUAAUUUGUUGAACUCCCAACUGAUAAUCAAAUUCCUUGUUGUGCUAUUGUGCUAACCGAGAAAGCCUAAGUUAUUUAGUGUCAAGAAGAUUCAUACGAAACAGCAGCUAGUAGGAAGUUCAGUGGUCUCACCAUUUGGUAUUAAUCUUCCACGAACUGUUGAUGCUCCUGAGAUUAAUUACCUUAAUGCACAGGAGGAGCGGCUUACCGGUGCUAAACUCAGCUGCAUCCUACUUCCUGUAGAACACUUUAGUAAAGACUUAAUCAUAACACAAUUAUUCAGAUGCCGAAACAUGUAUUAUUCUCAUAUGGAAUAGAUGUUUCUCAACAUGGCAUAUGAACAAAGUUAAAAGAAAAUAUAAAAGAGACCACAGUAUGCCCAAUGUGCUGCAUGGAAAUGCUUGGCUGAGUAAUUAUAUCCUUGUGAUGGCCGCUUAGGACUCCUCAAUACGCGGUAACAUUUUGGACUUUUUGAGUGAUCAUUAGUUUACAUUGAUUUGUGAAAUAAAUAUAUGAUGGUUGCCUUUCAAAUUGGGUAAUAUGAACAAUGUGAUACUCUACAGACUAAUUUGUUAAAUUCCAACCAAUAAUCAAUUUCCUAGUUGUGUUAAUGUGCUAACUAUGAAAAGCUAGGUUAUGUAGUGUCAAGAAAACAGUAUGAAGCAGUAGCUAGUAGGCAGUUAAGUGGUCUCACCAUUUGAUACUAAUAUUUUGCAGAGUGUUGAUGCUGCCGGGAUUAAUUGACUUGCUGCCCAGGAGCGAACAGCAGCAACUUACAGGUGCCGAACUUCGCUAUAUGACAUUGUAGUAAACAAAUAAAUUUAAUCACCUGAGGCAUGCAAUGGCAUAUCUGAUGGUUCAGAUUGAAUAUCACAAUCCUGGGCAGGGCGAGGGUGGAGGGGCGCACCUGCUGCUGGUACUUGUUGUCUAGUCUGGAGCAUGCAGUCUCGUGUAGGAGACACAAUGGAUUACCAUCCGAGCAGGAAGGACCAAGGCAGGCCACUUGCACCGAGUUGCCGACUCCUGUUGCCCUCGUUCUUGUUUGAGCUACAGAUCAUGAAUCGUGAGGAUGCAAUAUGCAUGACAAAUUGUUAACUUCUCAGAGCAUGUAUAUUAGUAUAGAUGGCACUAUAGACACAACCUACAAUAGGGUGCCUUCUCAGUUCUGUGCAUGGACUUUUGAUUAGAUGAAACAUUAGGUAUCUAUUGAUUGACACUAAUUAGUUCGUGUGGUCUAUGGCAGCUGCUUGUUAUGUACAUUGUCCUUCAUCCCUGUGUUAAUUUGUUGCUCUUGCAAAAAUUCAUUGCUAAUUCUUAGCAUGCCACAGCAAAAAGGAGAAGCAAAAAGAUGAACCACGGAGCAAAGAAAUUCCUAAAUUAAUGCAUGCAGCAACCAUCAUGGUUCUUUCAGCACCUUUGCAAUCCCAGACUCCAUGUUUUCUGAUAUGCAAGCAGGAUCGAGGCCACAU
This 2386-nucleotide long non-coding RNA is filed under the name Triticum aestivum (bread wheat). RNAcentral's name for it is "long non-coding RNA (TAES_LNC007195)". Lineage: Eukaryota; Viridiplantae; Streptophyta; Magnoliopsida; Poales; Poaceae. The record is from RNAcentral.